ACUUCAUGAUGUGGGAAUUAAGGUAUCUUACCGUUAAACCUCUCCCAUGCAUCAAACAACAAAUCAACAUUCAUUUGCCAAAAAUUUAUCAUCUCAUCCCACUUUGAAGU
This is a non-coding RNA of Capsicum annuum, 110 nucleotides long. Lineage: Eukaryota; Viridiplantae; Streptophyta; Magnoliopsida; Solanales; Solanaceae. The record is from Rfam.